RNAcentral lists this long non-coding RNA (2044 nucleotides) under Olea europaea (common olive). RNAcentral describes it as "long non-coding RNA (OEUR_LNC010548)". Lineage: Eukaryota; Viridiplantae; Streptophyta; Magnoliopsida; Lamiales; Oleaceae. The record is from RNAcentral.
AAAAAUAAAAAUAAAAAUAAAAAUUAGGGCUUAUUGACCAUUUAUGUCUGUGUAAUUUUAUACAUGGUUAUGCGAUUCGAUUGUUCAAAUAGUUUUCUAGGCUUAUUGACUAUCCAGAAAUAGGGUUUUCAAAUUAUAUUGAAAGAAUUUAUAACAAGAGUUUAUGUGACCCUGUUAUAAAAGCUUCGUAUUAUUUUCUAUUUUUCAGCCCCACGAACGUCUUGGAUUUUAUGUAUUAAAUAUUGAUUCUUUGGUAAAUUCUUUUUCUGUUAACGUUUUCCCCCAACAGUUUGUUCUCGUGUAUGAAAUUUUCAAUUGUAGGAGUUAAUCAAUCUCACUUGAGAAACUAAAACUAGUGAAUUGUUUCUGGAUGUGUGCUUCCGACUUGUGUGUGUAUGUGUGAUGCGGGUAUAAUAAAGGAUAUUUUUCCUGAACUAAUUUUGUAGCAAAUUCAAAAGUGAAUAACAUCAUUUUGUGCACGAGCAAAUUGAUGGUUUUAUGAUGUAGUUGCACUAUUAAUGUGGAGAUCAAUUUGUGCACGAUGAGAAGAUAAUUUUGGAUUCAUGAAUUGCCAUCUUAUCUUUAUUUUCAAGUUGAAGGCUAAAUGCAUGGAAAAAGAAUGAGAUGUAAACAUUACUAUUUGCUUUCUUGUGUUACACACAUACACAUGAACAGAUGCACGCGUCUAUAAACAGUUCCCAGACUAUCUUUAAAAGAAAACUGAAUUUGAAAUUGAACUUUAUCAUCACGUGGUAGGUGCUAGUGUAUUUAUGAUUUUAUCAUGCAUCUGCACGAGUAAUGGAAUGCAGAUCACUCAUCCACAAUGAGAGGAUAAUUUUGUUUACUUGAAUCCCAUCAUAUCUUUAUUUUCAGCAUUAUUGGAAAAUUAAUGAGAGGGAAAAUUAUGGUUGUGAUAAAUGAAGUCAUGGAGCAAGAAAUCGUCUCUCCCCUUUUUGUUUGGAACAAUUGAUGGUUGUAAGAGUGUCCCAAUCUCUUUUAUGGAAACUAUUGUUUACAUGACUAUUGUGUCACAUCUUCUCUAUGAUAGAAAGAGAUGGGAACAAGUGCAAGUGAGGGAGAGUGCCUAUAAAGACACUGAAUCCUUAUUUUUACAGCCCCUGUCUUCUAUUGCUCGUCAUCUAACUUAUCUUGCAAUAUUUGCUGUCUUGUUUUGUGUUCUCAAAUUACAAAAUAUUUUGAAUGGUUGUUGUCAAUGUUAAAUUAUGUUUCUUAGAUGGAUCUCAAUCCAGAAAUGGUCUGAUAGACCAUAAUGCUUUCAUUAUCUCAUGUAUCAGUUUCUGCAAGGAAGACAAUCACCUGCAGGGUUGUCAUAAUGUGGAAGAUACUUGGGGUUUGUGGCUGCAAAAUAAGAUUAAUGGCAACCUGGGUUUCUCUGAUCGUGCUGGUGAUGGCUGUUUAGAGGAAUGUGGGCAUAAGAUUGUAAAUUGAAAAAAUUAAAAAUUAAAAAUUAAAUGCAUUGUGCAAAUUUUUUUAGUUAGCGAACAAUUUGGUGUUGAAUUCGGUGGUUUUUCCUUCAAUAUGGACGUCGAACUGAUUCGGAUAGCUCAUUUGGACGAGAAGACUAUUGAACUUGAAUUACUGGACAAAACACGUGUGAAAUGACUGGUUUUGCUGGAUGUUUUAUAACAUCUGCACUACGCUACAUUGCCACUGGGCCACUCCAAUUUGUUACCUAAUAUUCACACUAUAACAUAUUUGAAAAAUGACAUCAAUUAUUAAGAUUAAAUUAAGUUACAUUGAUAAGAAAAUAAUAUUUUUUUAAUAAUUAUCUAGAUUAAUCAAAACUGUUUCGUACACAUCUUGAAAAAAUUAAAAUAAUUUCUUGUGUUGGCUAAAAUUUAGUAUAUGAUUAUUAAAGUACAAUUUUUUAAGCAACUAUGAAUGGAUAUCUUAAUUUUCAUUGAGAUAAAUCAAUCUUCGUCAGUGUAGAUGAGUUAAAACUUUUAUUCUGUGUAAAAAUAUGCGUAUUACCGAGUAUGUUACUCUACUCUAGCAAAAAUAUAAACCAUUGAAUAUAUUUUAC